GAUGAACGCUGGCGGCGUGCUUAACACAUGCAAGUCGAGCGCUGAAGGCCGGGCCUUUGUCGGGUUGGGUUAGUGGCGAACGGGUGAGUAACACGUGAGUAACCUGCCCUCUACUUUGGGAUAACGCCCGGAAACGGGAGCUAAUACCGGAUAUUCACUUAUCUUCGCAUGUGCGUUGGUGGAAGGGGUUUUUCUUGUGGCGUAUGGGCUCGCGGCCUAUGCGCUUGUUGGUUGGGUGAUGGCCGACUAAGGCAUUCACGGGUAGCUGGCCGGGGAGGGUGACCGGUCACCUUGGGACUGGGCUACGGCCCAGCCGCCUGCGGCAGGCAGCAGUGGGGCAUAUUGCGCAAUGGGCGAAAGGCUGAUGCAGCGACGAGGCGUGAGGGAUGGAGGCCUUCGGGUUGUAGACAUCUUUCGCUAAUGAUCAAGCCGCAAAUGUGGCUUGUGGUGAGGGUAGUGGGUCAAGAAGCGCCGGCUAACUACGUG
This 486-nucleotide ribosomal RNA is filed under the name uncultured bacterium. Its description in RNAcentral is "partial 16S ribosomal RNA". It matches the Rfam family "Bacterial small subunit ribosomal RNA", at positions 28 to 507 of the family's 1533-position model. The record is from RNAcentral.